CGCGUAGGCGGCUCGGUAAGGUUGCGGUGAAAGCCCGGGGCUCAACCCCGGGUCGGCCGUGGCAACUGCUGGGCUGGAGCACUGUAGAGGCAGGUGGAAUUCCGGGUGUAGCGGUGGAAUGCGUAGAGAUCCGGAAGAACACCGGUGGCGAAGGCGGCCUUCUGGGCAGUAGCUGACGCUGAUGCGCGACAGCGUGGGGAGCAAACA
RNAcentral lists this ribosomal RNA (207 nucleotides) under uncultured bacterium. RNAcentral's name for it is "partial 16S ribosomal RNA". It matches the Rfam family "Bacterial small subunit ribosomal RNA", at positions 568 to 774 of the family's 1533-position model. The record is from RNAcentral.